CUUCAGUGAUGAGACGAUGACGAGUCGGAACAGGUCUCUGUCUGGUUCCGGUGUCUGGUUCAGAUUCACGUUCUGUGAUUCUCCUCCAGUCCAUCAGAACAGCGAGGCCUUUUCGGUUGAAGACAUCGAGGCAUUUGUCUGAGAAGG
Small nucleolar RNA from Girardinichthys multiradiatus, 147 nucleotides. NCBI's taxonomy places the organism in Eukaryota, Metazoa, Chordata, Actinopteri, Cyprinodontiformes, Goodeidae. The record is from RefSeq and is a predicted model, not a curated record.